Molecule: non-coding RNA, 1936 nt
Organism: Vicugna pacos (alpaca)
Lineage: Eukaryota; Metazoa; Chordata; Mammalia; Artiodactyla; Camelidae
Source: RefSeq, a predicted model, not a curated record
GUUCAGAGGUGUGCCCUUCUGGUCUUUCUCUGAUAGUCAGAGCAACCCUCCAGGGCAGGAAACAUUGUGGGGUUGAAAGAAUGGGAAGAGAAUGGAAGCACAUAUGUUUUAUUCUGCAGAUAAGGAAGCGGGUAUGUGAGGAGAACAAGAAAGCAGGUACAGUAACCGAAGCAAUGAGUGGUGGAGGCCAAUGGGAUUAGAGAGACUGCAUUAAAAGCCUGCAAUGACUGAAUCACAGUGCUGUACAUCAAAAACUAACACAACGUUGUAAAUCAAGUAUACUUCAAUUCAAAAACAACAACAAAAGACUGCAAUGGCAUUAAUGUCCCCAGGGACAGUGUGGGUCAGCUCAUUCAUUCCUCAGUGACCAGCAAGAGAUUUGUGAACUACCCGACUCCUCGAACCCUGUCCAGGGAGAGACCCAGUGUCCCCUGCUAUAAUGAUACCCUGUACGCACCUUUGUUCUGGAACAUAUUGCACUGGGGUGACCUUGUUUUUGAAUACCCAGCACUUAGCGCAGGGCUCAGGACAUGUUUAUUGAAGGAAUGCACUCGAGCUUUCUAGCCAGAAGGUAGUGGGGUGCCUAUAGUUCAGCCUGCACAAAGGAAACCCCAAACAGCUGCAGAUUUCUAUCAUCCUUUGCUUGGUUCCUUUCCUCCUUGACCCAGAGAGGCACAUAAGUAAAAGAGCUAAUCAAGGAAGGCUGCAGAUCUUCCGUAAAGAUAGAGGCUGCCCGUUUGAAGGGAGGGAUUUGACGCAGCCUCGAAUCUGAUGCAAUCUCCGAAGCGAUCAGCUUGCUAAAGUAUGUUGGUGGCGACCAGGCAAAGCAAAAGACAAAGGUUACGGAAGCAGAUGUGGAGGGCACUGCCGGUCACACUUGGAUCUGUUUCGGGAGCACCUACCCGCCCCCCAUCAGACGCCCAAAGUCUAGGAACCUUCAGAAGCAUAGCGAUUUGUUGUAUUUUCCAAAGCUCCAUGCUGGGAUGCGUGGACCAGGUGCCUGCCUUAAGCGCAGCUCAGGCCUGCUCAGAGGAGUCGGGAGGGCCCCCUGCUAACAGCGUGGGGGGAACUUGCCCAGGGCUCGGAGGAGCCACAAACAUGGUUAAAGGAGUGAAAGAUUUAAAAAAUGGGGACACUGAAGAACAAAGUGAAGGGUAGCUUCAGGGUCUCAGGUGGAUGAAAUGCACAGAGACUAGUGACUGGUAUUUUCCUAUGACCAAGGAACAAAGGAUAGGAAGAUUGUUUUCAACUGUAUCAUAAGGGCCUCCGAGUUGAGUUGGAUAAAUUAAAAGAUUGUUGAAAUACCUUCUUGUACUCCUGUCCGCGUUAGCGUUAUUCAUUACAGACAGUUGGUCAUUUUCAUCAUUCAAGUCACUUAUGCUGUUGCUUUCCCGGAUCAGACAUUUGAGCUGCAGAAGGGAGGGGAAGGAAGCCAGUGAUGCUGGUUGAACACCUAUGACAACAGGCUCUGGCUUUUCCUGCAUCUCUGAUUUGCAAACAUCAUUCCAUUUAAUAGCCAAGGGGCUGAUAUUAUCGUCACUUACUUGUGGGGAACCCAAGGCCAGGAGCACCCCAGAUGACAGUCACAGGUGGCAGUGCUAGGUCUGUGUCAUGUGUAACUUCAGUCCUGAGUCCGUGUGACUCCAAAGGCCUUGCUUCCAGCAGAUCCAUAAAUGUGAUGAAUCCAGUGUUUACUGAGGCCGUCUGGAUGCCUCGUUCUCUAUGAGGCGUUCCAGACCGGUCCCUCCCAGGUCUGGAAAGUCUUUGCCUCUGAGAAUAACUGUGCAUUUGAUCCAGUUUGGCACCUCUAUGUCCAAAACAACCUUCGAUUGCCAUUUCUCAGCCUGGACAAAGCCUUAUGUCUGGGAUAGCAAAUGUGUGAUGCAUGCUUUUGGCAUAGCAAAAAACAAAACAAAACAAAAAAAAACAUUUCAGU